This 945-nucleotide ribosomal RNA is filed under the name Stemphylium clematidis. Its description in RNAcentral is "SSU rRNA". It matches the Rfam family "Eukaryotic small subunit ribosomal RNA", at positions 160 to 1116 of the family's 1831-position model. The record is from RNAcentral. Lineage: Eukaryota; Fungi; Ascomycota; Dothideomycetes; Pleosporales; Pleosporaceae.
AGAGCUAAUACAUGCUGAAAAUCCCGACUUCGGAAGGGAUGUGUUUAUUAGAUAAAAAACCAAUGCCUUCGGGGCUUUUUGGUGAUUCAUGAUAACUUUACGGAUCGCAUAGCCUUGCGCUGGCGACGGUUCAUUCAAAUUUCUGCCCUAUCAACUUUCGAUGGUAAGGUAUUGGCUUACCAUGGUUUCAACGGGUAACGGGGAAUUAGGGUUCGAUUCCGGAGAGGGAGCCUGAGAAACGGCUACCACAUCCAAGGAAGGCAGCAGGCGCGCAAAUUACCCAAUCCCGACACGGGGAGGUAGUGACAAUAAAUACUGAUACAGGGCUCUUUUGGGUCUUGUAAUUGGAAUGAGUACAAUUUAAACCUCUUAACGAGGAACAAUUGGAGGGCAAGUCUGGUGCCAGCAGCCGCGGUAAUUCCAGCUCCAAUAGCGUAUAUUAAAGUUGUUGCAGUUAAAAAGCUCGUAGUUGAAACUUGGGCCUGGCUGGCGGGUCCGCCUCACCGCGUGCACUCGUCCGGCCGGGCCUUCCUUCUGAAGAACCUCAUGCCCUUCACUGGGCGUGUUGGGGAAUCAGGACUUUUACUUUGAAAAAAUUAGAGUGUUCAAAGCAGGCCUUUGCUCGAAUACGUUAGCAUGGAAUAAUAAAAUAGGGCGUGCGUUUCUAUUUUGUUGGUUUCUAGAGACGCCGCAAUGAUUAACAGGAACAGUCGGGGGCAUCAGUAUUCAGUUGUCAGAGGUGAAAUUCUUGGAUUUACUGAAGACUAACUACUGCGAAAGCAUUUGCCAAGGAUGUUUUCAUUAAUCAGUGAACGAAAGUUAGGGGAUCGAAGACGAUCAGAUACCGUCGUAGUCUUAACCGUAAACUAUGCCGACUAGGGAUCGGGCGAUGUUCUUUUUCUGACUCGCUCGGCACCUUACGAGAAAUCAAAGUUUUUGGCUCUG